RNAcentral lists this small RNA (107 nucleotides) under Marmota monax (woodchuck). Lineage: Eukaryota; Metazoa; Chordata; Mammalia; Rodentia; Sciuridae. The record is from RNAcentral.
GCUGGGCGUGGAGGCGCACACCUGUAAUCCCAGCAAUUUGGGAGGCUGAGGCAGGGGGAUCUCAGGGUUGAGGCCAUCUUCAGCAACUUACCAAGAUCCUGUCUUAA